Molecule: ribosomal RNA, 520 nt
Filed under: uncultured Glomus
Lineage: Eukaryota; Fungi; Glomeromycota; Glomeromycetes; Glomerales; Glomeraceae
Description: SSU rRNA
Rfam family: Eukaryotic small subunit ribosomal RNA
Source: RNAcentral
AGCAGCCGCGGUAAUUCCAGCUCCAAUAGCGUAUAUUAAAGUUGUUGCAGUUAAAAAGCUCGUAGUUGAAUUUCGGGACCAAUAUGUCGGUCGUGCUUCGGUACGUACUUGCAUUAUUGGUUUCUCCCUUCUGAGGAACCAUGAUGUCAUUAAUUUGGUGUCGUGGGAAAUCAGGACUGUUACUUUGAAAAAAUUAGAGUGUUUAAAGCAGGCUCGCGCUUGAAUACAUUAGCAUGGAAUAAUGAAAUAGGACGUUUGAUUCUAUUUUGUUGGUUUUCUAGGAUCGACGUAAUGAUUAAUAGGGAUAGUUGGGGGGCAUUAGUAUUCAAUUGUCAGAGGUGAAAUUCUUGGAUUUAUUGAAGACUAACUACUGCGAAAGCAUUUGCCAAGGAUGUUUUCAUUAAUCAAGAACGAAAGUUAGGGGAUCGAAGACGAUCAGAUACCGUCGUAGUCUUAACCAUAAACUAAUGCCGACUAGGGAUCGGAUGAUGUUAUUUUUGAUGACUCAUUCGGCGCCUUA